GACGUAGGGCGCGAGCGUUGUCCGGAUUUAUUGGGCGUAAAGAGCUCGUAGGCGGCUCAUUGCGUCAACCGUGAAAUCCUGCUGCUCAACGGCAGGUCUGCGGUUGAUACGGGUGGGCUGGAGUUCGGUAGGGGAGACUGGAAUUCCUGGUGUAGCGGUGAAAUGCGUAGAUAUACGGAGGAACACCAGCGGCGAAGGCGGGUAGCUGGGCCAACACUGACGCUGAUGUGCGAAAGCUAGGGGAGCAAACGGG
This 253-nucleotide ribosomal RNA is filed under the name uncultured bacterium. RNAcentral describes it as "partial 16S ribosomal RNA". It matches the Rfam family "Bacterial small subunit ribosomal RNA", at positions 524 to 776 of the family's 1533-position model. The record is from RNAcentral.